GACGAACGCUGGCGGCGUGCUUAACACAUGCAAGUCGAACGAAAACGCCCGAGCUUGCUCGGUCGGAUUAGUGGCGAACGGGUGAGUAACACGUGAGCAACCUGCCCUUCACUCUGGGAUAACCUCGGGAAAUCGGGGCUAAUACCGGAUAUGAGCUCCUGUCGCAUGGCGGGGGUUGGAAAGUUUUGUGGGUUGGGGAUGGCCUCGCGGCUUAUCGGUUUGUUGGGGGGGUAGUGGCUUACCAAGGCGUUGACGGGUAGCCGGCCUGAGAGGGCGACCGGCCACACUGGGACUGAGAUACGGCCCAGACUCCUACGGGAGGCAGCAGUGGGGAAUAUUGCACAAUGGGCGGAAGCCUGAUGCAGCAACGCCGCGUGCGGGAUGACGGCCUUCGGGUUGUAAACCUCUUUCGGCAGGGAAGAAGCGAGAGUGACGGUACCUGGUGAAGAAGCGCCGGCUAACUACGUG
This 468-nucleotide ribosomal RNA is filed under the name uncultured bacterium. RNAcentral describes it as "partial 16S ribosomal RNA". It matches the Rfam family "Bacterial small subunit ribosomal RNA", at positions 28 to 507 of the family's 1533-position model. The record is from RNAcentral.